UACGUAGGGGGCAAGCGUUGUCCGGAUUUAUUGGGCGUAAAGAGCGUGUAGGCGGCCAUUCAGGUCAGCUGUGAAAACUCGAGGCUCAACCUCGAGACGUCGGUUGAAACCGUUUGGCUAGAGUCCGGAAGAGGAGAGUGGAAUUCCCGGUGUAGCGGUGAAAUGCGCAGAUAUCGGGAGGAACACCGAUGGCGAAGGCAGAUCUCUGGGCCGUAACUGACGCUGAGGAGCGAAAGCAUGGGGAGCGAACAGG
This 253-nucleotide ribosomal RNA is filed under the name uncultured bacterium. RNAcentral describes it as "partial 16S ribosomal RNA". It matches the Rfam family "Bacterial small subunit ribosomal RNA", at positions 524 to 776 of the family's 1533-position model. The record is from RNAcentral.